UUUACUUAACUUUACUUCUUAGGGUUUCACAUUCUUGACAUAUAAGUUUACGCGACUAACUUCCUUUACCAGUUUACGGCUUCAUGACAUACGGAGAUUGUGGCGACCCCAAAUCUGGAUACUUGAAACCCGAACUCGGUUCUCCACGAUACCAUUUCUUUAAGCUGAAUAAUAAUAUAAUUCGAACUUAAUUUACAUACAUCAAAGUUUACUUUCCCAGGUACGUGACCUUCAAAUACAUUCCUUACAAUACCUGACAAUAGAUUCCAUUGUCUUACUAACUAUAACCAUUAACUCAUACUAAAUCUCAUUCGAACAACUUUUCUUUUCCCUUGUUCAUGCCUGAGUCUUCAGGUCGAUCGUACGUAACUGAAAAC
This 377-nucleotide long non-coding RNA is filed under the name Panax ginseng (ginseng). Its description in RNAcentral is "long non-coding RNA (PGIN_LNC001945)". Lineage: Eukaryota; Viridiplantae; Streptophyta; Magnoliopsida; Apiales; Araliaceae. The record is from RNAcentral.